Molecule: small RNA, 277 nt
Filed under: Sinorhizobium meliloti 2011
Lineage: Bacteria; Pseudomonadati; Pseudomonadota; Alphaproteobacteria; Hyphomicrobiales; Rhizobiaceae
Description: putative ncRNA
Source: RNAcentral
AUGACCCAGCGAUACGAAUUGCAUGACGACAGCAAUGGCUUUUGGAGCGUGAUUGAUCGCUUCACUGGCUGGCCUGCUCGAUGGGAAGGCAUAUCGCAAACCGGCCUCGAUUAUUUCGAUGCGGACGAUCUCACCGAUUUGCUCAAUCUGCUGGACGAACGCAGACGAGCAAAAGGCAAGCCGGAAAGCGGCGAGCUAAAGUGAACGGCUUGCGAAUCGUGAAGGGCGGAGAAAGUGAGUGCCCGCACGAGGAAGGGGUGCGGGCACUCUGAACAGG